CGCACCACUGCAUUCCAGCCUGGGUGACAGAGGAAGAACCUGUCUCAAAAUAAAAAAAUAAUAAUAAAAAAAUAAAAAAAUCACCCUCAUUUCCAUGGCCAGUAAUAAAAAGAGAAACAGAAAUUUUAAUACAGGAAUGAUUACUGUAUUUCUUUGUGGGAAUUGUGGUAAGUUGGUAUUUCAGAACAGGCAUGUAACCCCUUCUGCCCAAUGACACUGGAGGGAAAGUCUACUGCUGGGUAGGGGUGGGGCUUUAGAGAACGGCUUCAUGUUACACAUCCUUCACCAGAGCAUUUUCUUCUGAAAAUCCUUUGUAGCAGAUUCUAUUAGCUUCAGGUAACAGGCAAUUAUGUGCUUUAAGAGAGAACCCCUCUCCCAGGAAGUGAACGUGAUUGGCACACCAACUGGGAUUUACCAUGAGCAUGUGAUGCUUAGGCUACGGCAGCCAUCUUGGUACCCUGAGAAGAGUCACCCUAAGAGAAGAUGCCAGCAUUCUAGGAAAAGCAGGGCGGGGAUGGAGAAAAAAUCCAGGGCCUGGAUGACAUUGCUGAGCUGCUGAGUUAACCUAGAACUAUCCUAACUCAAGAUUUCUCUUUAUAAGAAUCUCUCUUGCAGGAGUAACACAGGCAUGUGGAGAAUUUCUCAGAGUAUUUCCGCAGCAACCAACUGGCAUGAAGAAUACUUUGCUGAAACAUGGGGUUCAAAAGCAGCCCACAGCUCUCUUUCAGACCUCUGAAGUCACACCCAGUGGUCUAGUCAACAUUUCCUCUUGCAGAGAUUGUAAAGGUUUCAAUCUUAACACCAUGUGACUAAUUCGGUCUCUAUGAUCAAAGCCUUAUAAGAAAGAAUGACUGGUUGACCCGACAUGGACCAAGUGACCGUUCUUGUUCCCAGUGUGUUGUGGGCUAAGAAGAGAUGGGCACAGAAUGAUGGGAACGCAGAGCGAAAGGGCCCAACUCUACCAGGAGGGGAAGAUAAAAACUCCUGAAGAAAUUAUACAAAAAUAGAAUACUUACAACAGAAUUCUCAACAUCAUUUUUCCCUGUUUGAAUCCAGCAAGUCAGCCAUUGGUCACUUAAGAGCACUAACCCCUCCCUGGUUUGAAGAUGUUCUUGACUUUAAAUACAAACAUCUGAUAUUCCAGCUUAGACUCCUCCACAAGAACUAGAGUGUCAUCCUAUUUUGGCUUCCAGCUCAGUCCCUCUGCUACAAGUCUUGACUCCAGAACUCUGUGGGAUAAUAAAAUACAAGAUCAUAGCUUGAAAAUAGAGCGUGCAUCUGGUGUGGUUUGUUGUUUUGGCUUAAUUAGGACUUGCCGUUUCCUGAAUUCCUGUAAUCUCAUUUGAUGAAUUGUGUUGGUUACUUGCUCUGCAGGCUUUGAGCAUGUGGCACAUAUCAGAGGAAAUGAUUUCCCCUUUCUUCUUUGAAAAUCAUCUUCUGGUGCAUUAAAAAAAGAAAGCCAAUGUUUUUGGAUUUCUUUAGCUGUCCAUAGAAUUAC
RNAcentral lists this long non-coding RNA (1498 nucleotides) under Homo sapiens (human). Its description in RNAcentral is "HSALNT0017188". Lineage: Eukaryota; Metazoa; Chordata; Mammalia; Primates; Hominidae. The record is from RNAcentral.